AACGAACGCUGGCGGCAUGCCUAACACAUGCAAGUCGAACGAGACCUUCGGGUCUAGUGGCGCACGGGUGCGUAACGCGUGGGAACCUGCCUUUAGGUUCGGAAUAACUCAGAGAAAUUUGAGCUAAUACCGGAUAAUGUCUUCGGACCAAAGAUUUAUCGCCUUUAGAUGGGCCCGCGUAAGAUUAGCUAGUUGGUGGGGUAAAGGCCUACCAAGGCGACGAUCUUUAGCUGGUCUGGGAGGAUGAUCAGCCACACUGGGACUGAGACACGGCCCAGACUCCUACGGAGGCAGCAGUGGGGAAUAUUGGACAAUGGGCGAAAGCCUGAUCCAGCAAUGCCGCGUGAGUGAUGAAGGCCUUAGGGUUGUAAAGCUCUUUUUACCCGAGAUGAUAAUGACAGUAUCGGGAG
This 410-nucleotide ribosomal RNA is filed under the name uncultured bacterium. Its description in RNAcentral is "bacterial SSU rRNA". It matches the Rfam family "Bacterial small subunit ribosomal RNA", at positions 29 to 484 of the family's 1533-position model. The record is from RNAcentral.